Molecule: long non-coding RNA, 842 nt
Filed under: Androctonus crassicauda
Lineage: Eukaryota; Metazoa; Arthropoda; Arachnida; Scorpiones; Buthidae
Source: RNAcentral
AUUUUUAUUUUUUUUAUUGAAUGUUUUUGUUUUAUUAAAUAAUUUAUGCUUCUUUCCAUAUGGAUAGAUAUUAACUUCUGGGUCUAUUUCACAGUCUAUUAUGAAUUGCCCAUAUUUGAAAAGGAAUAGGUUGGAGGGUAAGAAAUUGGAAUUGAUCAGUCAAAUUUCCAAAAAUUUGGCUGAUUAAUUACCAAUCAUUCUCUCUCAACAAGAUUAAUUUCUUAGUCUAGUCUUUUCUUGUUGUAACAAAUUUGUCUUCCUCCAGCUACUGUAAUGAAUGAGGCUUACUUAGAACAUUAUAUUGAGGAAACAGUUCCUGCAGAAUUGAAACAAGAUUCAACUAGAGCUUUGUUGGAGAAGGUUAACAGACUAAGGUUUUAGGUUAACAGACUUUUUAAAAGAAAUGACCUCCCCUUGUUCCUGACAUUGAUAAAAAGAAUAAAUAAUCUGGUGUGCCCCAGGGUUUUUGCAUAUAUGGAAGUCCAUAAAACACCUCUUAUAGCAUGUCCUAUUGUGAAAAAAGACAAUCUCCAUUAUAUAAUAUUGAGAAGAUAGGGCCAAUUGGUGUGCCUUAAAGUUUACAGGUUAUGCUAAAUCUAUUUCUUCAACAGAGGCAUUUCUCCAAAAGCUAUUGGAGGAGACUCCUUCUUAGAAUAAAAUGCUUGCAACUCUGCAUUUUCAAUCUUUUUCCUUCAAGGAAGCUUGAACCUACUUGUCUAAUGUUUUAUAGAUUUCUUCUUCAGUAUGUCUCACAGGUAGAACAAAUAACUGGUGCAUUUAGAAAUUUUGCACACCUUUUGUGUUAUCAUUUGUAUUUUUAUUUUCAGAAAUAAAUAUCUUAC